Molecule: ribosomal RNA, 253 nt
Filed under: uncultured bacterium
Lineage: Bacteria
Description: partial 16S ribosomal RNA
Rfam family: Bacterial small subunit ribosomal RNA
Source: RNAcentral
UACAGAGGUCCCAAGCGUUGUUCGGAUUCACUGGGCGUAAAGGGUGCGUAGGUGGUGGGGUAAGUCGGAUGUGAAAGCUCGGAGCUCAACUCCGAAAUGGCAUUGGAAACUACCCUGCUAGAGGAUUGGAGGGGGGACUGGAAUACUUGGUGUAGCAGUGAAAUGCGUAGAUAUCAAGUGGAACACCAGUGGCGAAGGCGAGUCCCUGGGCAAUACCUGACACUGAGGCACGAAAGCUAGGGGAGCAAACAGG